Molecule: ribosomal RNA, 249 nt
Filed under: uncultured Actinomycetales bacterium
Lineage: Bacteria; Bacillati; Actinomycetota; Actinomycetes; Actinomycetales
Description: partial 16S ribosomal RNA
Rfam family: Bacterial small subunit ribosomal RNA
Source: RNAcentral
CUGGGGUGCUCGAGUGGCGAACGGGUGAGUAACACGUGGGUGAUCUGCCCUGCACUUCGGGAUAAGCUUGGGAAACUGGGUCUAAUACCGGAUAGGACCAUCGUUUAGUGUCGGCGGUGGAGAGUUUUUUCGGUGUGGGAUGAGCUCGCGGCCUAUCGGCUUGUUGGUGGGGUAAUGGCCUACCAAGGCGUCGACGGGUAGCCGGCCUGAGAGGGUGUACGGCCACAUUGGGACUGAGAUACGGCCCAG